CUCAAAUUUGAAUUUAAAAUCAUUAACAAGUCAUUUUUAGCAUAAGUAUGUCCCAUACAAUAUUUGUGACAUACUUAUACUAAAAAAGUAUUCACUGUUUCUCUGAAAUUCAAAUUAAACUGUGCAUCCUGUAUUUU
Molecule: microRNA precursor, 137 nt
Filed under: Chlorocebus sabaeus (green monkey)
Lineage: Eukaryota; Metazoa; Chordata; Mammalia; Primates; Cercopithecidae
Description: miRNA (ENSCSAG00000025817.1)
Rfam family: mir-1302 microRNA precursor family (bases 34-85)
Source: RNAcentral